RNAcentral lists this ribosomal RNA (464 nucleotides) under uncultured bacterium. RNAcentral describes it as "bacterial SSU rRNA". It matches the Rfam family "Bacterial small subunit ribosomal RNA", at positions 33 to 507 of the family's 1533-position model. The record is from RNAcentral.
CGAGGACGACGCUGGCGGCGUGCCUAACACAUGCAAGUCGAACGAGGUCCAUCCUUCGGGAGAAGACCUAGUGGCGAACGGGUGAGUAACACGUGAGGAACCUGCCCCGAAGACCGGGAUAACCCUCCGAAAGGAGAGCUAAUACCGGAUACCCCCACCGAGCCGCAUGGUUUGGUGAGGAAAUGGAUUCCGCUUCGGGAGGGCCUCGCGGCCUAUCAGCUAGUUGGUGGGGUAACGGCCCACCAAGGCAUCGACGGGUAGCUGGUCUGAGAGGACGAUCAGCCACACUGGGAUUGAGACACGGCCCAGACUCCUACGGGAGGCAGCAGUGGGGAAUCUUGCGCAAUGGGCGAAAGCCUGACGCAGCAACGCCGCGUGGGGAUGAAGGCUCUCGGGUUGUAAACCCCUUUCAGCAGGGACGAAUCAAGACGGUACCUGCAGAAGAAGCCCCGGCUAACUACGUG